AGUGAACGCUGGCGGUAGGCCUAACACAUGCAAGUCGAACGGCAGCACAGUAAGAGCUUGCUCUUACGGGUGGCGAGUGGCGGACGGGUGAGGAAUACAUCGGAAUCUACUUUUUCGUGGGGGAUAACGUAGGGAAACUUACGCUAAUACCGCAUACGACCUACGGGUGAAAGCAGGGGAUCUUCGGACCUUGCGCGAUUGAAUGAGCCGAUGUCGGAUUAGCUAGUUGGCGGGGUAACGGCCCACCAAGGCGACGAUCCGUAGCUGGUCUGAGAGGAUGAUCAGCCACACAGGAACUGAGACACGGUCCAGACUCCUACGGGAGGCAGCAGUGGGGAAUAUUGGACAAUGGGCACAAGCCUGAUCCAGCCAUACCGCGUGAGUGAAGAAGGCCUUCGGGUUGUAAAGCCCUUUUGUUGGGAAAGAAAAGCAGCAGGUUAAUACCCCGCUGUUCUGACGGUACCCAAAGAAUAAGCACCGGCUAACUUCGUG
This 492-nucleotide ribosomal RNA is filed under the name uncultured bacterium. Its description in RNAcentral is "partial 16S ribosomal RNA". It matches the Rfam family "Bacterial small subunit ribosomal RNA", at positions 29 to 507 of the family's 1533-position model. The record is from RNAcentral.